AGCCCCGUAGUGAUUAACACAUCAAAUUGCAAAUUUGAAAGAGUUCCUUNUAUUGGUUCCGGGGCUU
RNAcentral lists this transfer RNA (67 nucleotides) under Bavayia geitaina. RNAcentral describes it as "tRNA-Cys". The record is from RNAcentral. Lineage: Eukaryota; Metazoa; Chordata; Lepidosauria; Squamata; Diplodactylidae.